RNAcentral lists this unclassified non-coding RNA (1430 nucleotides) under Hevea brasiliensis (rubber tree). Lineage: Eukaryota; Viridiplantae; Streptophyta; Magnoliopsida; Malpighiales; Euphorbiaceae. The record is from RNAcentral.
UGCAGUUGCUCAUGGAAUUUGUAAAAUAGUUACUGCUGCUAUUUGAUUCAUUCUGAGAUAAGAAAGAUGCUAUGGUAUUGAUGUUUCGAUUAAUUGUGAUAUAAGACCUUACGUAUUUUUCUCAUCAAGUUCUGCUAUACAACAAUUUCCCAACUUUUAUUGGGGGAAAAAGGCAUUAUGCUCUAAACUCUUGAUUGCAAAGACUAAUACUGACUUUUGCAGCUUAGUUACCUUCUGUUUGGUCAAGGUCAAAGUGAAGGAAAGAAGGAAGGGACCUUGAGAUUUGAUGUGUUAUCUUGGAUGAAGGUUGAACUUCCUAGUAGUCUCAUAUGCAGACUGACCUAACUCUAACUAUUGCACUUUAUCAUCUUCUAUUAGGGUAAGCAUUGCAGAAUUUAAUUUUCUAAUGACUGCAAGUGCAAUCAGAAUGUAGCCAAGAGCCAAAGGGCUUCAUGGCAAAAUGGCUGAGGUGUCCCAAUUGCAAUUAAUCCCAACUGCAAUUAACAAUCAGCCUAAUAAUCCCAAUGGCAAUUAACAAUCAGCCUAACUCACACUUCCUAGUUUUGCAUAUCUUGAUUCAGGCUUUGAAAUUCAUUUGACCUGCAUUCUUUUUCUUCCAAUCAUUAUUGGAACAAAUUACUAAUUGAUAAGUAAAAUAUCAUCUUAAUUAACCCUUUUUUUUUAAUGUUUAUAAUCAGAUGAAAAAAUGUCAGAUUGCUUUUGAGAAAGAAGAAAGGUGAUUGGUGUCAGCUUAGAAGUUAUCUCUCUCUCGAUUUAUUUGUCUUAUGAGGCAUUUUUGUCCGUGUUUAAAUUUUCACUUCACAAUGUAUAAGAUAUCAAUUUCAUGUAGUGUGUGAGGCUGAAUUAUCUGUUUUUCUAAGAAUUGUAAGUACAAAAUGUGAUAAGUUGAUGUAGGAAGGAAUGAAAAGGGAAAGGAGGAGACCUAAAAUGACGCGGGGGGAAGUAGCAUCAAAAGAUUUACAAUAUUUGGAAUUUGAUGUGGAAUUGAUUUCAAACAAAACUAAAUGGCAGAAAAAGAUCUAUAUAGCUGCCCCAACUGGUUUGAGAUUAGAACUUAGUUGUUGUUUUUCUAAAAAUUGUAAGUAAUGCUGUGAAGUUUGAGCAAAUUGGUUGAACAAAAUCCUGGAAUUGGACCAAUAGUUGUGAGACUAGGUCCUAAAGUUGUUUUAAUGUUUAACUUUUCCAAAAUCUGUAUAAAUGUUCUUGUUUGCCAUCUUGAUACAUUUAAUCAAUUGUGUCAACGGCCUUAUUAAAUUUUUUAGCGCUGCUAUAUAAUGUCUUAUUUAUGGGGUUUAUGAUUGUUGAAUCUUCAUUUUAAGAUCAUUGAUUACAAUACAUAUUAUGAAUUAGGAUUUUUUUCAGUCAUUAAGUUUCUGGCUUGUUCCAGGCAUAUGAAAUGCGUAAUGCGG